AUGGUUGUGCAGCCUGGACAGUCUCUGACCCUCACCUGUCAGGUCUCUGGUUACUCUCUGACUGAUAGCAGCUAUGCAACAGGUGUCAAAGCUCAGACUCUGACAGAAUCUGAACCAGUGGUUAAAAGGCCUGGAGAAUCCCACAGACUGACCUGUUCAGCCUCUGGAUUCACAUUCAGCAGCUACCGUAUGAACUGGGUCAGACAGGCUCCUGGAAAAGGACUGGAGUGGAUUGCUUUCAUUCACACAGGCAGUUCUCAUAUCUAUUACUCCUCGUCAGUCCGGGGCAGAUUCACCAUCUCCAGAGAUGACUCCAGCAGUAAACUCUAUCUUCAGAUGAACAGUCUGCAGACUGCAGACACUGCAGUGUAUUACUGUGCCAGAGAGACACAGUGA
Non-coding RNA from Labrus mixtus (cuckoo wrasse), 396 nucleotides. Lineage: Eukaryota; Metazoa; Chordata; Actinopteri; Labriformes; Labridae. The record is from the annotation of a RefSeq genome assembly.